GCACUGAAAGAUGAUAAUUCUGUCUUUAUUAAUAUAUUUGUGAAUGUACUUUUAAGUCCAUCUUUUAAUAGAUUUUAAAUCUAAUAGCCGAACAAAAUUAUUAUUGUAACUCGCCUUACAUUCUUACUUAUUGGCUGCACUUUGAUUUGUAAUAUUCCUAUAGUGGGAAUAGAAUUUACCUUUAGGUAAAUCCUAGACAACGGUAUACAAGCUAUGAAAGUAAGUAACGAUUACUUGGUGGUUGUCAAUUACAUGGUAAGUUCCCCUAAAAUACUUCUUUCAGCCGCCAUAAUAUUUAAGUUUGGACCAUCUAAAUAGUUGUAAUCCUUGUUUGGUUAGUUUAAUCUCCUUAUAACUGGGUAUCUAAUCCAGGUUUAUGUUUAAGAAUUUAGUAUUAUUACUAAUAGAUGUUAGACUUAGAAAUUAGUAGCAUUUCACCACAUAGUAACUUUUUCUGUACAUAUAUAAACAAAACAAAUACUAUAAAUUUAUCUAUUAGGUAUGACCGCGGUUGCUGGCACCUAAUACACCAAGAUUACACAGAUAACUAAAUUUAAAUUUCCUUAAUUUAUUAAAACUUUUAACUGAGAAGUUUAUUUAUAGCUCAUAUUAAAUCAGACUGCACACUUACAGUACCAUCAUAUUAAAGUGGUAAGACUCUAAGGGGGAAUUUAUACCAUUUUAGA
RNAcentral lists this ribosomal RNA (686 nucleotides) under Montenegrina laxa kontschani. RNAcentral's name for it is "partial 12S ribosomal RNA". The record is from RNAcentral. Lineage: Eukaryota; Metazoa; Mollusca; Gastropoda; Stylommatophora; Clausiliidae.